GAAAUGCGUGUUAUGGGUCUACCAAAACCUCCUAUAGUUCACCCGCGUCUCAUAUGUACCUAUAUAGGAGACGCGUAUUAUAAACCCGGGUCUCCAAUGAGUUCAUCAGUCAUCUGGAGACUCGUUGUUUAUACGUGUCUCCUUUGUGGGGCAUAAAAUGAGACGCGUGAGACAAAAAUGCAUCACCAACCUUUAUAGCUCGGACCCGAACUUUUUUAUGAAAUGGCGUUACGCCUAUGCCUCCACGUCCGCCCACACCCAGCACCCCACCCAUCUUCUGUCUCUCUUUCGUCUCUCAUCUCCUCCCUCUCCUCUCUCUAUUUCUCUCGACUCCCUCUGCCUCUCUCGUCUCCUUCGCCACCGGCCCGCUCGGCCUCCUCGGGCCCCCUUCUCUCCCAAAUCCUUGGCGGAGGCCUUCCCCGUCGCCCCUUCUCUCCCACGCUCUACCCC
RNAcentral lists this long non-coding RNA (450 nucleotides) under Setaria viridis. RNAcentral describes it as "long non-coding RNA (SVIR_LNC004319)". Lineage: Eukaryota; Viridiplantae; Streptophyta; Magnoliopsida; Poales; Poaceae. The record is from RNAcentral.